This 298-nucleotide long non-coding RNA is filed under the name Carica papaya (papaya). Its description in RNAcentral is "long non-coding RNA (CPAP_LNC006163)". The record is from RNAcentral. Lineage: Eukaryota; Viridiplantae; Streptophyta; Magnoliopsida; Brassicales; Caricaceae.
UCCCAUCAAUGUAGGGUGCGAGGCACAAUGUGCAUGCACUUGCCAUCACGCACAGAUGGGCACAGCUCCGUGCACCCUAUGCGGGAAUCAUCGGCACAGUAGGCCUGCCUGUUUAGGUCGACACGCAUAGCUGACUAGGGUAGUAUGCACUGCCUUGGGUAGUGCGUGCCACCCCUUUGGGCACUACGCACUGCCUUCAGGCAAUGCGCGACCGUCACUUGUCAGCAUUCCUCUAGUUUUCGUGCUAUAGUCACACCGUAUCGUCCAUCCGUCAGUCACAUUCAUUAGUCAUCACAUC